UAACAACUGAUUUGUUGUCCUUUCCGUGUCGUUUCUUGGUAGGACAUCAUCUUCUGUAACGGUGUGUCACUCAGCUAGUUGUCCAUCGUCAUUUGUUGAGUUAAAGUCACCUGGUACCCCCGUCCAUGACAACAGAAGGAACCUAUUCAACAACGAAUAAAACACAUAAGGAGGCGGGAGAGAGACCUCACGUAGGGCCACUGCCUUACAUCCUGAAAUCAGCAGCAACUCAUUCACCCAGGAGGAUAAUGGACCUACAACAAUCCCAAUGACGUAACGACCAAAAGCCAAAGUUAUACAAAGUGGGGAAAGGGGGGGUCUAGUCGUCUCUGAUUGUGCAAUUAGGCACACCUGUGCAAUUGGACGGACCUACGCUACGCGGCACAGCUUUGCAAUUGGGCACACCUACGCGUCGCACAUGUGCAAUGAGGCACACCUAUGCACACCUGUGCCAAUUGCACAAACGGUUGCCCCGUCCCAAGGGCAACAUAUCGUCUCACUUUCUCGCUGCUUGGCGUUAAAUAAGCGCCUGGUUUAGAUCCGACCAGAUGACGAGUUGCUCUCUGACCACGGCUUUGGGAAGAAGUCCCGUUUCCUAAUUUCCUCUCCAGAUGGGCUCUCUAACCAUCACGUCUUAGUUUUUCCCCAGAGCAGACAACCAAAGGAAGAGGCGGCGCCGGCCUUCAUGAUCUUAAAGAGCGUGUUGACGUUGUUGGUCUUGAUGGCAUCACGGCAGGCAGAGAUCACCUGGUUCUUUGGCUUACCCACUGGGGAGAGACGGAGAGAAAGACGGGCCUUGAUGUGCAGGUCUACCGGUAUGUCCUUGGGAGGGACUAUGGGCACUCGGACACAGCCCGAGAGCUUUUGUGCGCUGGGGUGGACCACGUGGCUCUCUCCCUCGAAGAUCCCCUCGGCGAAGAUCAGCACUGAGCGGAUAAUGGUCUCUGAAGGGGGAUGGACCACAUGUUGAGUGCUGUGUCUGAGACUCUUUAUCAUCACUACACCCUCUGAGCACUUCCUUGUGAUUCUGCUGUAGUCCAGCGUGUUACUGGAGUGUGUAUCUGGAAGUACCGUUUGGCGUGGAGAUGCUGAGUUCUACAUGGGCCUUCUGGGCCUCGGUGGCGGGCCGGACAGACAAUGCUGUCUGGAGCUGAGUGUUGGCUGGUAUCACACCCACCUCGCUGUCCGUCUCGGUCACACCCUGAAACACAAGUAUAGAAACGGUGAAGGUAUCAAUAUAGUCAACAUGAUACGACCAUUUCUUUUUUAAUCCCAUUCAAUGCAGCCCAUCAAUUCAAAGCUAUUCUGAAAGUACCACCACCACCACCAUCAGAGAUUGCUCACCUUGGCAUUCUCGUCGUAGUUCCGUAGUUCCAGCAAGAGAUUCUGUCUGCGCUGGCUGAGCUCUCUGACCAGGUCCUGCUCUACACUGGACUCCAUCAGGUUCCCCUUCAGUUCCUUACUGGCUGGAAGGUAGCCUCGCACUGGAAGACGUACAAACCUGCAUGAGUCAUUGUGUAGCAUCAAGGUAGCCACUAGCGGUGAAGUUACCGAUGGCAACCAACCGAUAUCCCACUCAGCCCUCCUUUCCAAGGACUAAGGUGGCCUGGAAUGGCCUCUAUUGCGUAACUGGCCACUAGGUCCUUCUACAUUGAACAUGUUUGUUCCGUUCGUUUUUCCCCUCGUCAAUAGAAUGGUCUGCCCACGUAUGGACUGUACACAUAAUGCUCUAAGUACUGGCUGCAGUCUUAGUGCAAGACUGACAAUUUAUUGCACAACAUAGAAACUGUACCAAGACCAAAACAGGUUAUGGUUUACCCUCUCCCUCCGUGGAGGUGCAGAUGAGUUGGACCUGCCCGUCCAUCCGGUAGUCCCCCUCCACCACACCGGCCACCGACGAGGAGAAGUUGUCUUUGAAGAUGACAUCGCCCGUGCGGUCGCUACGGGCAUCGAUCUGAAAGGAGAAAAGAAAGCCUGUAUGAGGAAAGCAUUGGUUUAACCGUCUGGGUUCUAGUAGCUGGUGUAACAGCCAUCGUCUAUACAUGGUGAUACGUGGACACGUCUAAGGACCUUUCCGUUGGACCAGCCGGUGAUCAGUUCUACCACCCCAUCCCCAUUCAGGUCAAAGGCGUGGAUGCUCAUCGCAUGAUUCUUGGACUGUAACAGGGAUCGGAUGUGAGUUUAGGUUAUGUUAAGUCAGUAAUGAUAUUAAAGGAUAAUAGUUAUCCUAAUUUUAAUUUUCAACAUAACUCAUAAGUUACUCAUAAGCUAUUGCAAGAAACAUACAACAUUUCCAAAUACAAAAGCAUAGGAUGGAUGUUUGCAGUACCUUGAUUCUCCAGUAGCGGGCCGUCCGGUCAUAGACUCCCACUGUACCAUUGGCUAGGGCAUAGCCAAACCGGCUACCGUGCAUAUGGCACAGCGAGGUCACUGUCUGACACACGGGGACAAUACGUGAAACGGAAUCCAGUAUCAUCAACGAACUAUGUUCACUCUAUUUUACUAAAUGUAUAAACAUGCCCCUGCUUUUUACCUCAUUUUCUGACAUCUCGGAAACAAGCUUGUCUUCUUUGAAAACCCUGAUGUCAAAAUCCUCAGACCCGACUAAGAGCUUUGAACAGAACACACACACAAAUACACAUGAUAAUACACACAAUAGUAUACACAAAACAUUAUAUACACACACUACAGCACGUGACUACAUACCUUAUUUGCUUCAUAUUGUAUGCACUCAUAUCAAAUGUUAUGAAUGAAGGACAUGGUUCAUCCCAUAUUGACACCUGUCUCACCUCAUUCUUCCCGUCUCCGGUGAAGUCACAGAGCACCAGCGAUUGAACAUUAUCACCAGUAACCUAUGAUUAAAAAUGUAUUAAUGGAUCAACUAAAGUUGAAUCAAGUACAAAUAAUAUGCUGUAUGCUAUAGCUGAAGCAGGCCUCUCAAAGUCAAAUAAAAGGCAUUUGUAUCAUUUGAAGCAAAGGUGACCAAACAUGAAGCAUUACAAGGCAAUCAAAUUCAUGCAGAAUAUUUUAUUUAAAAUGAAUAGGUGAAUAGUAAUGCUCUGGAUAUGUCAUUAAAUAUGCAAUAGCAUAUGCCACAAAUUCUAAAGUUUAGAGACAUGGGAUUACAAGCCUUUAAAAUAAAGUCACUUUUGAUUAAGAUGUUGACUCUUUUUGGAUGGCUCCAGAAACUAGUACUGAGCUGAAUGAGGUCAACAACUAUCUUUAUAAUCACUCACUCAUGUACAUUAGUCAUCAUGAUGGAAGACAACGCGCACUACGGCCUCGAGGUGUAGAGAGCUGAUAAAGGUAACCAGCCCCAUCAUUAAAUCACAGUCAUCUGCACAAGGAAUGAUGUCAUUAAGUCUGGGCUUUCAGGUAUGUGAACUGCCAAUGAGGUACUAGCUUGGCCCAUACCGUCCAGAACAGGUCUUUGCCCUCAUAGUCGAAGCCUUGUAAGGCACAGUUCCCACCGAUGAUGGCCAGGGGAGAUUGGAUGUCCCCUAGUUUCCCCAGCACAAUUGCGUUGGCCCCAUCUGUAACCUAGACAAGAAGAUGUUUUUCAUUAUUGUAUAGUGUCCUAUUUAUAUUUUUUAAGAAGUAUUUAUCAGUUCUUGUUAGCAUGUGUUUAGUUUGAAGGAUUUCCUAUGUUGAGGAGUAGGAACAUAAAUGUUAAAAGCAAUGUGGUAUA
This is a long non-coding RNA of Gadus chalcogrammus (walleye pollock), 3688 nucleotides long. RefSeq lists it as uncharacterized. Lineage: Eukaryota; Metazoa; Chordata; Actinopteri; Gadiformes; Gadidae. The transcript has 7 exons. The record is from RefSeq and is a predicted model, not a curated record.